GUAGUUGCAUUUGCCACGGAUACUUCAAAGUUAAGAUCAAAUCAAACAUCUUGGAAUCCAUUCUUUACCAUUGUAUGCUGCAAAAAUAAAACAAACUCAACUACCACGAAAAAUAUCACAAUUCUAAUAAUAAAAUCUUCAGUGAGUAAUAAAAUUGAUACUAGAAUAUUAAUUAUAAUAGUCAUUAUGGGAAAAUAUAUAAUAAAAAGUAUCACAACAUUAAUUAUUUCGCUUAUCUAUAUAAUUCACAAAAUGACAAUUAUAUUAUUGGUCAAUAAAAUACAAAUCCUGUUGGAUACAUAUAUAGUGGUACUUACUUAAUUAAUUAGUUGUGCAUGUCAAUAACGUAAAGGAGAUCCGUGUAGCUUCUGUGACAUAUCUUGAAAUAUAAUUUUGUUUCAUUACGUUUCAAUUGUGCUAUUACCUAGUGUUUCCCCUCUCUGUGGGGAGAAAUUUCUACGUUUGAUUUUUUUUCUCCCCUUAAAAAUUUUUAAGAUUGCUGCAAUUCAGGUUUAAAUCUAUCACCUUGUGAGUCACAAUGGUUGAGAUGAGGUGUCCCCACUAUUCUAAUGCAACUAGUCCUUUGAAUUUAAUGAGGUGUUUCUUCAUGAAUAACUUUUAAUAUUUUACAAAAAACUUGAUGGUGCUUUUACUCUCAAGAAAAAAAAGAAGGCACUCAAUAUGUCCCAUGAUGGUUAAACUUUUUCAAGGUCCAAAAAGAUCUGAAUCAUGCUCUUCUAUUACAAAAUCUUUAUCAUAUAGUUUAAUUUUUAUCUUUUGGAUUGCAGCAUUAAAUCAUAAUAGCUCAUCUCUUAUGGAUCGCUUUGCCAAGGGACAUGAUCUUGACGUUUUGUUUCACAUGGCGUGCUAAUUGGGUUAAGAUGACACGAAGGUUAUCUUCAAGACUCCAAGGUCUUUGUACAUCAAUGAAGGAUGUAUCUUAUUGACUUCUUUAACCAUAUGAAUGUUGUUCCAAGCCUUUCUAAUUCGUUUUAUGUGAUGGUUUUGUUUGCGGGCAACAAAAUUAUUGUCUUGGUUCGACUUUUGCAUUCAAGUGUCCUCCACGUUCCAUGUC
RNAcentral lists this long non-coding RNA (1075 nucleotides) under Phoenix dactylifera (date palm). RNAcentral describes it as "long non-coding RNA (PDAC_LNC007082)". Lineage: Eukaryota; Viridiplantae; Streptophyta; Magnoliopsida; Arecales; Arecaceae. The record is from RNAcentral.